AUUGAACGCUGGCGGCGUGCCUAACACAUGCAAGUCGAGCGGUAACAGGUGUAGCAAUACAUGCUGACGAGCGGCGGACGGGUGAGUAACGCUUGGGAAUCUGCCUGUUAGUGGGGGACAACCCGGGGAAACUCGGGCUAAUACCGCAUACGCACUACGGUGGAAAGCCGGGGACCGCAAGGCCUGGCGCUAACAGAUGAGCCCAAGUCGGAUUAGCUAGUUGGUAGGGUAACGGCCUACCAAGGCGACGAUCCGUAACUGGUCUGAGAGGACGACCAGUCACACCGGAACUGAGACACGGUCCGGACUCCUACGGGAGGCAGCAGUGGGGAAUAUUGGACAAUGGGCGAAAGCCUGAUCCAGCGACGCCGCGUGGGUGAAGAAGGCCUGCGGGUUGUAAAGCCCUUUCGGUGGGGAAGAAAGCCUCGAGUUAACACCUCGGGGUCUUGACGUAACCCAUAGAAGAAGCACCGGCUAACUCUGUGCCA
RNAcentral lists this ribosomal RNA (488 nucleotides) under uncultured bacterium. RNAcentral describes it as "bacterial SSU rRNA". It matches the Rfam family "Bacterial small subunit ribosomal RNA", at positions 29 to 510 of the family's 1533-position model. The record is from RNAcentral.